CCCAAAUCGAAGUCUUUUAUGCAGUCCUUUUCAUCUUGGGAUUGUCUAGACCCCUCUGGCGGCCAUCCCAAAACUGGUCAUCAAGACAUAUCACUCAGAAUUAUUUUGUUUUGUUUUCUGUCUCUUUUGUUAUUAUUCAACAAUCCCACAUGGAAAAAUGUACACAAAACUUUUAUUUAUUUGUAAUCGGUUAUGCCAGGAGUGGUCACUACCUGUGCUCAAACUGCCAAAGCAUUACAACAAUGCUCAAACGGAUCUUAACAUCUGUGGAAAUCUUUGGUGCUACAUAAAUAGUUAUUAUUGGUAGAGGCCUAGUUACGUUUUGUCAACUAGAGAAAUUCCUCUGCAUUUGGCAAAUGUGAG
Molecule: non-coding RNA, 363 nt
Organism: Pelobates cultripes (western spadefoot toad)
Lineage: Eukaryota; Metazoa; Chordata; Amphibia; Anura; Pelobatidae
Source: the annotation of a GenBank genome assembly